This 453-nucleotide ribosomal RNA is filed under the name uncultured Leptolinea sp. Its description in RNAcentral is "bacterial SSU rRNA". It matches the Rfam family "Bacterial small subunit ribosomal RNA", at positions 917 to 1381 of the family's 1533-position model. Lineage: Bacteria; Bacillati; Chloroflexota; Anaerolineae; Anaerolineales; Anaerolineaceae. The record is from RNAcentral.
CGGGCCCGCACAAGCAGCGGAGCGUGUGGUUUAAUUCGAUGUUACACGAAGAACCUUACCAGGGUUUGACAUGCAAGUGGUAGGAAGCCGAAAGGUGACCGACCCUUCGGGGAGCUUGCACAGGUGCUGCAUGGCUGUCGUCAGCUCGUGUCGUGAGAUGUUCGGUUAAGUCCGCUAACGAGCGCAACCCUCGCUGUGUGUUAUAUGUGUCACACGGGACUGCCGGUCUUAAGCCGGAGGAAGGUGGGGAUGAUGUCAAGUCAGCAUGGCCUUUAUAUCCUGGGCUACACACACGCUACAAUGGCCAACACAAUAGGUUGCUAAGCCGCGAGGUGGCGCCAAUCCAUAAAGUUGGUCUCAGUUCAGAUUGUAGGCUGCAACCCGCCUGCAUGAAGAUGGAGUUGCUAGUAACCGCAGGCCAGCUAUACUGCGGUGAAUACGUUCCCGGGCCUU